GCCCUCUCGAUACGCUCCCUCAUCCACAGAAAUUCGUUCUCAUCACGAUUCGAAGUGAUGAUAAUGAAUUCUUUGGAUGAGAGCUCUUGAGUCUGC
This 96-nucleotide microRNA precursor is filed under the name Pristionchus pacificus. Its description in RNAcentral is "microRNA ppc-mir-2243 precursor". The record is from miRBase by way of RNAcentral. Lineage: Eukaryota; Metazoa; Nematoda; Chromadorea; Rhabditida; Neodiplogasteridae.